This is a long non-coding RNA of Triticum dicoccoides, 720 nucleotides long. RefSeq lists it as uncharacterized. NCBI's taxonomy places the organism in Eukaryota, Viridiplantae, Streptophyta, Magnoliopsida, Poales, Poaceae. The transcript has 3 exons. The record is from RefSeq and is a predicted model, not a curated record.
UCCCAAGUAGCGGUGAAUCCCCAUUCUCCGGAGAGCGGCGGCGAGACCCUUCUCCGGCACUACCGCUGCUUCCGGCAACGUCCAGCUUGCCGGCUUACGCGAUGCAAUCUGACUCUCACGACGGCCGUUCCGCCACCCUGGAUUCCCCUCCCCCAAGCAGGGGAUGACCACAAUUGUACUACCUGAUGACCUGGUGGGAGAUCCUGUCUCGGCUGCCGCUGAAGUCCUUUUGCCAUUUCAGAUGUGUCUCCAAAUCUUGGCUUGCCUUCUCAUUUGAUCCGCACUACCGCCAGAAGCUCCCAAGAACUCCUGUCUGUCUCCUCUACCAAAAAGGUGAGCAUGGCACUCCCAUCCUUCUGGCGGGACUUCCCUCAAGUGCUAGGGAUAUUGAUUUUGUGCUAUGUUGAUCUCAAGCUUAAGGACUACAACAAUGGCCUACUUCUUUGUUAUCAUUGUGAUACGCACUAUAAUGAAAUUUAUGACGCUAUCGUGUGCAAUCCAGCAACUAAAGAGUGGAUUGUACUUCCAGAUAUUUGCUGUUCUCAGGUUGUGUUUUGAUCAUUAUAGUCUCAGCACUUCUAUGUCUGCAAAUUUGAGAUAAUCUUGAGCCCUUAUAGGGUGGACAUGGUCGGUCCGGUCCGGUCCCUGACCGAGCCACCGUUUGGACUGGCCGCUAGCGGGCUGGAUCGGACCGGACGGACCAACCUAGCGGUCCUGUUU